Molecule: ribosomal RNA, 672 nt
Filed under: uncultured Pseudomonadota bacterium
Lineage: Bacteria; Pseudomonadati; Pseudomonadota
Description: bacterial SSU rRNA
Rfam family: Bacterial small subunit ribosomal RNA
Source: RNAcentral
GUCGAACGGUAACAGGAAGCAGCUUGCUGCUUUGCUGACGAGUGGCGGACGGGUGAGUAAUGUCUGGGAAACUGCCUGAUGGAGGGGGAUAACUACUGGAAACGGUAGCUAAUACCGCAUAACGUCGCAAGACCAAAGAGGGGGACCUUCGGGCCUCUUGCCAUCGGAUGUGCCCAGAUGGGAUUAGCUAGUAGGUGGGGUAACGGCUCACCUAGGCGACGAUCCCUAGCUGGUCUGAGAGGAUGACCAGCCACACUGGAACUGAGACACGGUCCAGACUCCUACGGGAGGCAGCAGUGGGGAAUAUUGCACAAUGGGCGCAAGCCUGAUGCAGCCAUGCCGCGUGUAUGAAGAAGGCCUUCGGGUUGUAAAGUACUUUCAGCGGGGAGGAAGGGAGUAAAGUUAAUACCUUUGCUCAUUGACGUUACCCGCAGAAGAAGCACCGGCUAACUCCGUGCCAGCAGCCGCGGUAAUACGGAGGGUGCAAGCGUUAAUCGGAAUUACUGGGCGUAAAGCGCACGCAGGCGGUUUGUUAAGUCAGAUGUGAAAUCCCCGGGCUCAACCUGGGAACUGCAUCUGAUACUGGCAAGCUUGAGUCUCGUAGAGGGGGGUAGAAUUCCAGGUGUAGCGGUGAAAUGCGUAGAGAUCUGGAGGAAUACCGGUGGCGAAGGC